AGACACCAUACCGAUAAUGUAAAUGCUAGACAGCUGUCGGGAGGUGGGUUUUACGCCCCAGGCGAACCAGCAACAACUCCCUACUGUCACAUGCAUAUGCAGGAUAAGACACCACACUGAUCCUGUAAAUGCUGGCCAGUAUCCAGAACAGAAAUCCAUAGAAACAUCUCACAUCUAUAUACUAAACGGCACCUCGCGGGAAUUCUACAUCCGUGUAAAGCCAUACUGCACCUCGCGGGGUCUUACUAUGCCCGGCGGCAAGCAGAAUAUAAGUCGUAG
RNAcentral lists this long non-coding RNA (279 nucleotides) under Phoenix dactylifera (date palm). RNAcentral's name for it is "long non-coding RNA (PDAC_LNC016973)". The record is from RNAcentral. Lineage: Eukaryota; Viridiplantae; Streptophyta; Magnoliopsida; Arecales; Arecaceae.